RNAcentral lists this ribosomal RNA (207 nucleotides) under uncultured bacterium. Its description in RNAcentral is "partial 16S ribosomal RNA". It matches the Rfam family "Bacterial small subunit ribosomal RNA", at positions 568 to 774 of the family's 1533-position model. The record is from RNAcentral.
UGCGCAGGCGGGAAGACAAGUUGGAAGUGAAAACCAUGGGCUCAACCCAUGAAUUGCUUUCAAAACUGUUUUUCUUGAGUAGUGCAGAGGUAGAUGGAAUUCCCGGUGUAGCGGUGGAAUGCGUAGAUAUCGGGAGGAACACCAGUGGCGAAGGCGGUCUACUGGGCACCAACUGACGCUGAGGCUCGAAAGCAUGGGUAGCAAACA